GUGGGGCUGGCAGAAUUGGCUAGUGCGCAGGGCCGCAAACCCUGAGGAUCGAGGUUCGAGUCCUCGGCUCCACACCA
This 77-nucleotide transfer RNA is filed under the name Verrucomicrobiaceae bacterium. Its description in RNAcentral is "tRNA-Cys". It matches the Rfam family "tRNA". From Rfam's summary of the family: Transfer RNA (tRNA) molecules are approximately 80 nucleotides in length. Their secondary structure includes four short double-helical elements and three loops (D, anti-codon, and T loops). Lineage: Bacteria; Pseudomonadati; Verrucomicrobiota; Verrucomicrobiia; Verrucomicrobiales; Verrucomicrobiaceae. The record is from RNAcentral.